UGAGGAAUAUUGGUCAAUGGGCGCAAGCCUGACCCAGCAACGCCGCGUGAAGGAAGAAGGCUUUCGGGUUGUAAACUUCUUUUCUCAGGGACGAAGCAAGUGACGGUACCUGAGGAAUAAGCCACGGCUAACUACGUGCC
This 140-nucleotide ribosomal RNA is filed under the name uncultured bacterium. RNAcentral's name for it is "partial 16S ribosomal RNA". It matches the Rfam family "Bacterial small subunit ribosomal RNA", at positions 355 to 509 of the family's 1533-position model. The record is from RNAcentral.